This 301-nucleotide ribosomal RNA is filed under the name uncultured bacterium. RNAcentral's name for it is "partial 16S ribosomal RNA". It matches the Rfam family "Bacterial small subunit ribosomal RNA", at positions 509 to 809 of the family's 1533-position model. The record is from RNAcentral.
CAGCCGCCGCGGGAAUACGUAGGGUGCGAGCGUUAAUCGGAAUUACUGGGCGUAAAGCGUGCGCAGGCGGUUGUGUAAGACAGGUGUGAAAUCCCCGGGCUUAACCUGGGAACUGCGCUUGUGACUGCACAGCUAGAGUAUGGCAGAGGGGGGUGGAAUUCCACGUGUAGCAGUGAAAUGCGUAGAGAUGUGGAGGAACACCGAUGGCGAAGGCAGCCCCCUGGGCCAAUACUGACGCUCAUGCACGAAAGCGUGGGGAGCGAACAGGAUUAGAUACCCGCGUAGUCCCUGUCUCUUAUAA